GACGAACGCUGGCGGCGUGCCUAAUACAUGCAAGUUGAGCGCUGAAGGUUGGUACUUGUACCAACUGGAUGAGCAGCGAACGGGUGAGUAACGCGUGGGGAAUCUGCCUUUGAGCGGGGGACAACAUUUGGAAACGAAUGCUAAUACCGCAUAAAAACUUUAAACACAAGUUUUAAGUUUGAAAGAUGCAAUUGCAUCACUCAAAGAUGAUCCCGCGUUGUAUUAGCUAGUUGGUGAGGUAAAGGCUCACCAAGGCGAUGAUACAUAGCCGACCUGAGAGGGUGAUCGGCCACAUUGGGACUGAGACACGGCCCAAACUCCUACGGGAGGCAGCAGUAGGGAAUCUUCGGCAAUGGACGAAAGUCUGACCAAGCAACGCCGCGUGAGUGAAGAAGGUUGUCGGAUCGUAAAACUCUGUUGGUAGAGAAGAACGUUGGUGAGAGUGGAAAGCUCAUCAAGUGACGGUAACUACCCAGAAAGGGACGGCUAACUACGUG
This 497-nucleotide ribosomal RNA is filed under the name uncultured bacterium. Its description in RNAcentral is "partial 16S ribosomal RNA". It matches the Rfam family "Bacterial small subunit ribosomal RNA", at positions 28 to 507 of the family's 1533-position model. The record is from RNAcentral.